RNAcentral lists this ribosomal RNA (253 nucleotides) under uncultured bacterium. Its description in RNAcentral is "partial 16S ribosomal RNA". It matches the Rfam family "Bacterial small subunit ribosomal RNA", at positions 524 to 776 of the family's 1533-position model. The record is from RNAcentral.
UACAGGGGGUGCAAACGUUGCUCGGAAUCACUGGGCGUAAAGGGUGCGUAGGCGGGUCUUUAAGUCAGGGGUGAAAUCCUGGAGCUCAACUCCAGAACUGCCUUUGAUACUGAAGAUCUUGAGUUCGGGAGAGGUGAGUGGAACUGCGAGUGUAGAGGUGAAAUUCGUAGAUAUUCGCAAGAACACCAGUGGCGAAGGCGGCUCACUGGCCCGAUACUGACGCUGAGGCACGAAAGCGUGGGGAGCAAACAGG